GAGGCACUGCCUGCCCAGUGACACAUGUUUAACGGCCGCGGUACCCUGACCGUGCAAAGGUAGCAUAAUCACUUGUUCUCUAAAUAGGGACUUGCAUGAAUGGCCACACGAGGGUUUAACUGUCUCUUACUUUUAAUCAGUGAAAUUGACCUAUCCGUGAAGAGGCGGAUAUAGCUAAAUAAGACGAGAAGACCCUAUGGAGCUUCAAUUCAAUAAUACAAACAAAUGUUUUAAAUACCCACAGGCACUAACCCACUGUCAAUGUAUUAUAAAUUUUGGUUGGGGUGACCUCGGAGCAUAGCACAACCUCCGAAAAGCAUUACACCAAGACCUCACUAGUCUAAGUAAUUUACACUCAUUGACCCAAUAACUUGAUCAACGGACCAAGUUACCCUAGGGAUAACAGCGCAAUCCUAUUUUAGAGUUCAUAUCGACAAUAGGGUUUACGACCUCGAUGUUGGAUCAAGACAUCCUAAUGGUGUAGCCGCUAUUAAAGGUUCGUUUGUUCAACGAUUAAAGUCUUACGUGAUAUGGAGCCUACUUCACAAAGCGCUCCCGCAAAUCAAAUGAUUAUAAUCUUAAUUUCACAAAAUACUAUCCCUGCCCAAGAACAGGGCUU
This 619-nucleotide ribosomal RNA is filed under the name Aotus trivirgatus (douroucouli). RNAcentral's name for it is "partial large subunit ribosomal RNA". It matches the Rfam family "Bacterial large subunit ribosomal RNA", at positions 1849 to 2638 of the family's 2925-position model. The record is from RNAcentral. Lineage: Eukaryota; Metazoa; Chordata; Mammalia; Primates; Aotidae.